UUCUUUAGCACAGUAGGCAGUGCAUCAGUCUCAAAAGCUGAAGGUCCCAAGUUCCAUUCUUGGAAGGA
Monodelphis domestica (gray short-tailed opossum) is the source of this 68-nucleotide transfer RNA. It matches the Rfam family "tRNA". From Rfam's summary of the family: Transfer RNA (tRNA) molecules are approximately 80 nucleotides in length. The record is from Rfam. Lineage: Eukaryota; Metazoa; Chordata; Mammalia; Didelphimorphia; Didelphidae.